UGGAAAGGUGGCCCAGCGACUAAGAACAUUUGAGCACUUGUUCUUGCAGAGGACCCACGUUCUAUUCCUAG
RNAcentral lists this microRNA precursor (71 nucleotides) under Mus pahari (shrew mouse). RNAcentral describes it as "microRNA 5124a (MGP_PahariEiJ_G0006970.1)". Lineage: Eukaryota; Metazoa; Chordata; Mammalia; Rodentia; Muridae. The record is from RNAcentral.